UCUGACACUGCUGGUCUGUAGUACCA
This 26-nucleotide non-coding RNA is filed under the name Cricetulus griseus (Chinese hamster). The record is from RNAcentral. Lineage: Eukaryota; Metazoa; Chordata; Mammalia; Rodentia; Cricetidae.